Molecule: Y RNA, 109 nt
Filed under: Microcebus murinus (gray mouse lemur)
Lineage: Eukaryota; Metazoa; Chordata; Mammalia; Primates; Cheirogaleidae
Description: Y RNA (ENSMICG00000043741.1)
Rfam family: Y RNA
About the family: Y RNAs are components of the Ro ribonucleoprotein particle (Ro RNP), in association with Ro60 and La proteins. The Y RNAs and Ro60 and La proteins are well conserved, but the function of the Ro RNP is not known.
Source: Rfam by way of RNAcentral
GGCUGGUCCAAAGGCAGUGAGUAAUCUCAAUUGUUCACAGUGAGUUACAGAUCAAACUCCUUGUUCUACUCUUUCCCCUCUUCUCACUAUGGCACUUGACUAGUCUUUA